UACGGGGGGAGCAAGCGUUGUUCGGAUUUACUGGGCGUAAAGGGCGCGUAGGCGGCCACCGCAAGUCAAUUGUGAAAUCUCCGGGCUUAACUCGGAAAGGUCAACUGAUACUGCGGGGCUAGAGUGCGGAAGGGGCAACUGGAAUUCUCGGUGUAGCGGUGAAAUGCGUAGAUAUCGAGAGGAACACCUGCGGCGAAGGCGGGUUGCUGGGCCGACACUGACGCUGGUGCGCGAAAGCCAGGGGAGCGAACGGG
RNAcentral lists this ribosomal RNA (254 nucleotides) under uncultured bacterium. RNAcentral's name for it is "partial 16S ribosomal RNA". It matches the Rfam family "Bacterial small subunit ribosomal RNA", at positions 524 to 776 of the family's 1533-position model. The record is from RNAcentral.